This 274-nucleotide long non-coding RNA is filed under the name Carica papaya (papaya). Its description in RNAcentral is "long non-coding RNA (CPAP_LNC008698)". The record is from RNAcentral. Lineage: Eukaryota; Viridiplantae; Streptophyta; Magnoliopsida; Brassicales; Caricaceae.
UGAAGCAAACUCUCAAAUUCUCCAACUUCCCAAUCCUGCAAAUUUCUUGAUACAUUGAUAGACCACUCAGCAACAUCAUUACAGAUUCUGUAGGCAUCCUGCACCAACAUAUUCUGAUUCUGUGAAAUUGCAAAUAUUCUAGGGAAUCUCCUCAUUAAGUACUCAUUGUCGAUCCAUACAUCCUUCCAGAAUCUUAUGCUAUUUCCCCUCCCAAGUUUCAAUUGCAGAUUACACCGAAAGAGUGGCCACUGCAUCAUAAUUUUCCUCCAUAAAC